UACGUAGGGGGCUAGCGUUGUCCGGAAUCAUUGGGCGUAAAGAGCGUGUAGGCGGCUUGGUAAGUCCGCUGUGAAAGUCCAGGGCUCAACCCUGGAAAGCCAGUGGAAACUGUCAAGCUAGAGUCCGGAAGAGGCGAGUGGAACUCCUGGUGUAGCGGUGAAAUGCGCAGAUAUCAGGAAGAACACCAAUGGCGAAGGCAGCUCGCUGGGACGGUACUGACGCUGAGACGCGAAAGCGUGGGGAGCAAACAG
This 252-nucleotide ribosomal RNA is filed under the name uncultured bacterium. RNAcentral describes it as "partial 16S ribosomal RNA". It matches the Rfam family "Bacterial small subunit ribosomal RNA", at positions 524 to 775 of the family's 1533-position model. The record is from RNAcentral.